RNAcentral lists this ribosomal RNA (393 nucleotides) under uncultured bacterium. RNAcentral describes it as "partial 16S ribosomal RNA". It matches the Rfam family "Bacterial small subunit ribosomal RNA", at positions 523 to 918 of the family's 1533-position model. The record is from RNAcentral.
AUACGUAGGUGACAAGCGUUAUCCGGAUUUACUGGGCGUAAAGGGCGUGUAGGCGGUCUUGCAAGUCAGAAGUGAAAUUCCUGAGCUCAACUCGGGCGCUGCUUCUGAAACUGCAGGACUUGAGUGCUGGAGGGGAUAGCGGAAUUCCUAGUGGAGCGGUAAAAUGCGCAGAUAUCAUGAAGAACUCCGAUUGCGAAGGCAGUCCGCUGGGGCACGUCUGACGCUGAUGCUCGAAGGUGCGGGAAUCAAACAGGAUUAGAUACCCUGGUAGUCCGCACGGUAAACGAUGAUUACCCGCUGUCGGCGGCAGACAGUCGGCGGCCAAGCGAAAGCGAUAAGUAAUCCACCUGGGGAGUACGCCGGCAGCGGUGAAACUCAAAGGAAUUGACGGGG